GUGACCUCGGAUCAGU
RNAcentral lists this ribosomal RNA (16 nucleotides) under Cladosporium cf. cladosporioides EXF-5884. RNAcentral's name for it is "partial 28S ribosomal RNA". Lineage: Eukaryota; Fungi; Ascomycota; Dothideomycetes; Cladosporiales; Cladosporiaceae. The record is from RNAcentral.